AUUGAACGCUGGCGGCAGGCCUAACACAUGCAAGUCGAGCGGAUGAAGGGAGCUUGCUCCUGGAUUCAGCGGCGGACGGGUGAGUAAUGCCUAGGAAUCUGCCUGGUAGUGGGGGAUAACGUCCGGAAACGGGCGCUAAUACCGCAUACGUCCUGAGGGAGAAAGUGGGGGAUCUUCGGACCUCACGCUAUCAGGUGAUCCUAGGUCGGAUUAGCUAGUUGGUGGGGUAAAGGCCUACCAAGGCGACGAUCCGUAACUGGUCUGAGAGGAUGAUCAGUCACACUGGAACUGAGACACGGUCCAGACUCCUACGGGAGGCAGCAGUGGGGAAUAUUGGACAAAGGGCGAAAGCCUGAUCCAGCCAUGCCGCGUGUGUGAAGAAGGUCUUCGGAUUGUAAAGCACUUUAAGUUGGGAGGAAGGGCAGUAAGUUAAUACCUUGCUGUUUUGACGUUACCAACAGAAUAAGCACCGGCUAACUUCGUG
RNAcentral lists this ribosomal RNA (484 nucleotides) under uncultured bacterium. Its description in RNAcentral is "partial 16S ribosomal RNA". It matches the Rfam family "Bacterial small subunit ribosomal RNA", at positions 30 to 507 of the family's 1533-position model. The record is from RNAcentral.